AAAAUUGCAAUAUUGAGUAUAGUGUUGUCCAGUCUAAUGGCACGAGGCACAAAGGACAUCCUCAGUCUGUCUGUGGAGCAGCGCUGAGACAGCAGUCUGCUGCUGAACGUGCUCCUCCUCUCUCUGAAGGCCUCCUGUAGACAGUGUGAGGCAUUGUUCAUAAUUGCCUUGAACCGGGACAGAGUCCUCUGCU
Molecule: long non-coding RNA, 193 nt
Organism: Thalassophryne amazonica
Lineage: Eukaryota; Metazoa; Chordata; Actinopteri; Batrachoidiformes; Batrachoididae
Exons: 3
Source: RefSeq, a predicted model, not a curated record